CUCUUCAAGAAUGACCAAAAUUUUUUCUGUUUCUCAGUGUAACUGAGACUAAUGAUGUCAUUCAUAUACUCUUUAUGUGCUUUUCUUAUUAUGGCACCCUCAACGGAGUUGGGGUGACAUAUUGUUAUUGUUCGUUUCUUUUUUUCAUAUUAUUAUGGCACCCUAAACGGAGUUUGGGUGACAUAUUGUUAUUCUACGUUUCUUUUUGUUUUUUUUAUCUUUAUUAUUUUUCUUCCACACUUUUUUGUCCAGUCUGGAACUCUAAUAUAAAUGGACCAAAGAAGAUGGAACUAUACCAUAAUGUUAACCACCAUGUGAAGAUUUGCUUUUUGGGGUUGGCACUUUCAAGAUGUCCGCCGUUACCAUGGAAACGGAACAACUGUGAAAAAAUCCACUUUUUGGUUUUGGGGAAUAAUUUGGAGAUGC
Molecule: long non-coding RNA, 426 nt
Filed under: Mytilus galloprovincialis (Mediterranean mussel)
Lineage: Eukaryota; Metazoa; Mollusca; Bivalvia; Mytilida; Mytilidae
Source: RNAcentral